AUUAGAGUUUGAUCAUGGCUCAGAUUGAACGCUGGCGGCAGGCUUAACACAUGCAAGUCGAGCGGAGAGAGGUAGCUUGCUACUGAUCUUAGCGGCGGACGGGUGAGUAAUGCUUAGGAAUCUGCCUAUUAGUGGGGGACAACAUUUCGAAAGGAAUGCUAAUACCGCAUACGUCCUACGGGAGAAAGCAGGGGAUCUUCAGACCUUGCGCUAAUAGAUGAGCCUAAGUCGGAUUAGCUAGUUGGUGGGGUAAAGGCCUACCAAGGCGACGAUCUGUAGCGGGUCUGAGAGGAUGAUCCGCCACACUGGGACUGAGACACGGCCCAGACUCCUACGGGAGGCAGCAGUGGGGAAUAUUGGACAAUGGGCGCAAGCCUGAUCCAGCCAUGCUGCGUGUGUGAAGAAGGCCUUAUGGUUGUAAAGCACUUUAAGCGAGGAGGAGGCUACUUUAGAUAAUACCUAGAGAUAGUGGACGUUACUCGCAGAAUAAGCACCGGCUAACUCUGUGCCAGCAGCCGCGGUAAUACAGAGGGUGCAAGCGUUAAUCGGAUUUACUGGGCGUAAAGCGCGCGUAGGCGGCUAAUUAAGUCAAAUGUGAAAUCCCCGAGCUUAACUUGGGAAUUGCAUUCGAUACUGGUUAGCUAGAGUGUGGGAGAGGAUGGUAGAAUUCCAGGUGUAGCGGUGAAAUGCGUAGAGAUCUGGAGGAAUACCGAUGGCGAAAGGCAGCCAUCUGGCCUAACACUGACGCUGAGGUGCGAAAGCAUGGGGAGCAAACAGGAUUAGAUACCCUGGUAGUCCAUGCCGUAAACGAUGUCUACUAGCCGUUGGGGCCUUUGAGGCUUUAGUGGCGCAGCUAACGUGAUAAGUAGACCGCCUGGGGAGUACGGUCGCAAGACUAAAACUCAAAUGAAUUGACGGGGGCCCGCACAAGCGGUGGAGCAUGUGGUUUAAUUCGAUGCAACGCGAAGAACCUUACCUGGCCUUGACAUAGUAAGAACUUUCCAGAGAUGGAUUGGUGCCUUCGGGAACUUACAUACAGGUGCUGCAUGGCUGUCGUCAGCUCGUGUCGUGAGAUGUUGGGUUAAGUCCCGCAACGAGCGCAACCCUUUUCCUUAUUUGCCAGCGAGUAAUGUCGGGAACUUUAAGGAUACUGCCAGUGACAAACUGGAGGAAGGCGGGGACGACGUCAAGUCAUCAUGGCCCUUACGGCCAGGGCUACACACGUGCUACAAUGGUCGGUACAAAGGGUUGCUACCUAGCGAUAGGAUGCUAAUCUCAAAAAGCCGAUCGUAGUCCGGAUUGGAGUCUGCAACUCGACUCCAUGAAGUCGGAAUCGCUAGUAAUCGCGGAUCAGAAUGCCGCGGUGAAUACGUUCCCGGGCCUUGUACACACCGCCCGUCACACCAUGGGAGUUUGUUGCACCAGAAGUAGCUAGCCUAACUGCAAAGAGGGCGGUUACCACGGUGUGGCCGAUGACUGGGGUGAAGUCGUAACAAGGUAACCGUAGAAUC
Molecule: ribosomal RNA, 1511 nt
Filed under: uncultured bacterium
Lineage: Bacteria
Description: bacterial SSU rRNA
Rfam family: Bacterial small subunit ribosomal RNA
Source: RNAcentral